CACAAGGUUGCUUCCUGUGCCCUCUAAGAUUUGAGUGCCAUUGUUUAGGGUUUGCAAUCGAUUAGAGGUUAAAGAUUAGAGAUUAGAGAGAGCUUUCUUCCGUCCAUUCAUAGAUGAAGAUGUGAUUUGAUUGACUGCUGACUCAUUCAUCCACGUAUCAAGCGAUGGCUUGAUAGAUGAGUGAAUGAUGCAGGAGGUAACUCAGGUCUCAUGCCGUCUUUGUUUGGACUGAAGGGAGCUCCCUCUGUUAUUCAUUAUUUAUUAUCGAUAUUUUAUGUUCUACUAUUUGAUCUUUAUUAGAGAUCGAGAAUUGAAGGUUUGUAUCGAUCGAUCGGAAUCAUAAGGUCAUUGGUCAGUGAUAAUUGAUGACAAGGUUUCCGAAGUCGACGUCAGACUCCUCGGCUGAUGGCGGCGGAGAACGAGGCGGGAUGGAAGCAUAGCGACGAAGAAGGAUAGAGAGCGAGAUCGCCUUCAACUCGUCCUUCGAUUGUCAACCCGUUGCAUCUCAGGUCUGGUUCUUCCGGCUGCAACCGACCGCGGAGAUGCGCUGGAAGCAGAAGGGUGCCGAUGAACAAGGCGGUGCUCUGCUAUCCAAAGGGACGAAGGCGGCGAAGAACGCGCAGGUGAUUCGGAUGCGGAGCGGCGACCCGACAUCACGCCGAAGGAGAUUUUUCUCGGCCCGCCCAUUCUGCUAGAGCUGGAGGCCCCGAUCAAGAUCUGCGGUAUGCUGGCAGAAAAUUGGUUUUUGUUGCGAUUUUGAAAUUCCGUCGCGAUCCUAGAUCCAAUCCAAAGCUCUGUUCUUCGUAUUAGAUCUUUGUUGCCUUUUGCCCAUCAGGGCUUUCAUCCAUGUGCCGAUCUGAUCUAAAACCACCAUUAGAAAUUAGAAAUUGAUCAAGAACAACCUAAAUUAGUGUCAAAAUCUUGUUUCCGCAGCCACUAGAAAAAUCUAAAGGCUGUUGUCUGGUCCUAUACGUGAAUUGAAUGUAUCAUCACCAGUGCCAUUGAAUGAUGUUUAGCUCCAACUAUUUGGUAUUGUCUACACAGAUCUUAUUCCUGUAUCAGCUAAACCCGUGAAGUAUUUCUUAAUCCAAGAAUAGAAUGAAGAUUUGUAUUUUUUUUUUCAUGGAUAUGUUUGUAAAUGGGAGAUGAGCCAUGAAAAAUGAUAAUGCAUGAAUUAGAUGUGUAUGAUUCUACGCUUUGAUUGCUUAUUUGUAAUGACAACCAUGCUUGAUUGAAAUAUCUCAUGACAAACAUGGCUUUUAUCA
This is a long non-coding RNA of Zingiber officinale, 1265 nucleotides long. RefSeq lists it as uncharacterized. The transcript has 2 exons. The record is from RefSeq and is a predicted model, not a curated record. Lineage: Eukaryota; Viridiplantae; Streptophyta; Magnoliopsida; Zingiberales; Zingiberaceae.